Long non-coding RNA from Centruroides sculpturatus (bark scorpion), 216 nucleotides. RefSeq lists it as uncharacterized. The transcript has 3 exons. NCBI's taxonomy places the organism in Eukaryota, Metazoa, Arthropoda, Arachnida, Scorpiones, Buthidae. The record is from RefSeq and is a predicted model, not a curated record.
UGAUCGUGAUCUGAAUGAAAGGAGGAAUACUGGCCAACUCUUAUGACCGCCGAUCCGGGUGCGUUUCAUCGACGUCCUAUACAACAAGAUCGGGAACCAUCGGUCUAUGAGAUAGUGCCAUAGAUAGUGAAGCCGACGAUGUUGUUGCCGACGAACAGAUUGCUCAGAUUUUUGAAGCUGAUCGCAUAGGUGCAAAGAAAGGAUUUUUAAUGACGG